GCACCUCCAAGCCCAGCACAAGCAGCUGCGGUCUAGGCUGCACUAUUAUCCCACAACUUCUAACAAGAGUUAACUUCAGCCCUGUUCUUUUCCUAGUUGUAUUUUCAGGGCAUUAAA
Molecule: long non-coding RNA, 117 nt
Organism: Phyllostomus discolor (pale spear-nosed bat)
Lineage: Eukaryota; Metazoa; Chordata; Mammalia; Chiroptera; Phyllostomidae
Exons: 3
Source: RefSeq, a predicted model, not a curated record